This 253-nucleotide ribosomal RNA is filed under the name uncultured bacterium. RNAcentral's name for it is "partial 16S ribosomal RNA". It matches the Rfam family "Bacterial small subunit ribosomal RNA", at positions 524 to 776 of the family's 1533-position model. The record is from RNAcentral.
UACAGAGGGUGCAAGCGUUGUUCGGAAUUAUUGGGCGUAAAGAGCUCGUAGGCGGCUUGUCACGUCGGUUGUGAAAGCCCGGGGCUUAACCCCGGGUCUGCAGUCGAUACGGGCAGGCUAGAGUUCGGUAGGGGAGAUCGGAAUUCCUGGUGUAGCGGUGAAAUGCGCAGAUAUCAGGAGGAACACCGGUGGCGAAGGCGGAUCUCUGGGCCGAUACUGACGCUGAGGAGCGAAAGCGUGGGGAGCGAACAGG